Molecule: non-coding RNA, 29 nt
Filed under: Mus musculus (house mouse)
Lineage: Eukaryota; Metazoa; Chordata; Mammalia; Rodentia; Muridae
Source: RNAcentral
UAAAAUCCAGGAGCGUGGUAUGGCUACCA